GUGGAUUAAUGAGUACGAUCACUCCAAGCCCAUCCAGGGGCAGCAGAAGAAGCCCUUUGAGGAGCACUGGAGGAAGCACACCCUGUCCUAUGUGGACGUCAGCACUGGGAAGUGCACAGCCAGAGAACAACACAUCACACACAGGAAACAGUUGUGCUCAUGUGAUGGGGGCCUCAGCACUAGGAAGGAGUGGACUAUUGGCGCAUGUAGCAGCUUGAAUAAAUCUGAAAGUCACUACACUGCGUAAGAGAAGCCAAAUAAAAAAGUUCAUGCUGUGUACAGAGGGUGUUGAGAAUGCCUCCUACGUGACGGAAAGCAGAUCCGUGGUUCCCUGCAGACCGGCAGGAGCAGAUUCCAAAGGCACAGGAAGAAGCUUGCAGAUGGAGUCUCGCUCUGUCACCAGGCUGGAGUGCAGUGGCAUGAUCUCAGCUCACUGCGACCUCUGUCUCCUGGGAUCAAGAGAUUCUCGUGCCUCAGCCUCCCGAGUAGCUGGGACUACAGGCAGCUGCUCCCAACCCCAGCAACUUUGCUAUCUUAGAACGGAUCACCAGUGAAAGAGGGGAAGUUGCUACUGUGAUGAAUUCUGCCAUGUGGUACCAGACUGCUGCCCAGACCACAGUGUCCUCUGCAACCCUGGUAACUCACAUACAGGCCUGAUUCCACCUACAGCAAAGCUGGAUGCUAUGGUUGGCAGAGGCAAGCCCCUUGCCUGCACUUCAGGCCAAAGCCGGGAUGUGGCCUAGAUGGUUCCUAAGGUCCCUGACAGUCCUGAGAUCUUUCAUCUUGUCUAUUUCAGGUCAAAGGUGCCUACAUGUUCCUUCUAGCUUUGUUUCCCUGAUGUUCCUUGCCACCUGCUACUCCUCUCUGAGCUA
Molecule: long non-coding RNA, 872 nt
Filed under: Pongo abelii (Sumatran orangutan)
Lineage: Eukaryota; Metazoa; Chordata; Mammalia; Primates; Hominidae
Description: lincRNA
Source: RNAcentral